GGACCCGUAGCCCAGCCAGGAUAGGGCGGCGGCCCUCUAAGCCGCAGAUCCGGAGUUCAAAUCUCCGCGGGUCCG
This 75-nucleotide transfer RNA is filed under the name Thermoprotei archaeon. Its description in RNAcentral is "tRNA-Arg". It matches the Rfam family "tRNA". From Rfam's summary of the family: Transfer RNA (tRNA) molecules are approximately 80 nucleotides in length. Their secondary structure includes four short double-helical elements and three loops (D, anti-codon, and T loops). RNAcentral also lists the same sequence under 3 other names. Lineage: Archaea; Thermoproteati; Thermoproteota; Thermoprotei. The record is from RNAcentral.